Small nuclear RNA from Dromiciops gliroides (monito del monte), 107 nucleotides. Lineage: Eukaryota; Metazoa; Chordata; Mammalia; Microbiotheria; Microbiotheriidae. The record is from RefSeq and is a predicted model, not a curated record.
GUGCUCACUUCGGCCACACGUAUACUAAAAUUGGAACAAUACAGAGUAGAUUAGCAUGGCCCCCGCACAAGGAUGACAUGCAAAUUUGUGAAGCAAAAACUAACAUC